AGAGCCGAGUCAGCCAUAAAGCUACGCGCUAGGCUCUUGGCCCUGACGUGAGGCGCGCAGAGAUGGCGUAACGGGAAUAGUUUUCAACGUCUAUUUCAUUCCCUGCUUCAGAGGACCUCUUUAAUCUUUGAUUUUGGUCCCUGUUUCUAAGAAAAGCAACUGAAAAGGUCGUAAUACCGCCCCUGAGAAAAAAGGAGCAGCGCUAAAUAAUCGAGAAAAUGCCUCCUCUUGAAACGGAUAUAGAGAUGGAAACAAGAUAUAAGAAGGAUUGAGAAUCAUAUAAUACAGGAGCUUAAACACCUAUGCGCGAUGAUAAAGAGGGUACUAUUAGAGCGCUUGGAAAAUACCAGGAAGUUGAGAGAGUUAACAGAAGGGCGCACGCUGGAUUGGCCACAAAAUCGAAUUACUGAAGUAAGUGCAAAACGACAAAUUGUCACAGAAUACAGAGAAAAGGGGAAAAGAAAUUAAGAGGAGAAAAAGAGAGAUCUAGAGGGCCGGUCCAGGAGAUACAAUCUAUGCAUAAUAGGAAUACCUGAAACUGAGGACAGAGCAAGUGGAGCUGAAACAAUAAAGGAUCUACUUGAAAAAAUUUUCCAGAAUUGAAGAACGAACUAGAUCUACAAAUGGAAAAGGCUCAUAGGAUACCUUUAAAGUUUAAUGAAAAGAAAGCAGCAUCUAGACAUAUCCGGGUGACGUUUUUGAAUUUCAAAGACGAAACAUUUUACAAGCAUCCAGUCAGAGAAAGCAGGUUACUUACAAAGGGGCAAAAGUCAGGCUGACCUCAGAUUUUUCUCCUGCAAUUCUAAAUGCCAGAAGACAGUGGAACAAUAUCUAGAGUGUUAAGGGAAAAUAAUUUUGAGCCAAGAAUUAUAUACUCUGCCAAGUUAUCAUUUCUUUACAAAGGAAACUGGAAGACAUUCUUAGAUAUACAGGGGUUAGGAAAGUAUAUCAACCAAGAACUUUCCCUGAAAAUUUUGCUGAAGGAUUUACUGCAGCUAACAGAGAACCUGAAUUAAAAUAAGAAUAGGGAGGCAAUUGUAUGAAAGAACUGAUGGUAUGCAUUAAAACUAGUUAAGGAGCAUUAAGUUUAAAUUGUUAUGUAUAGGGCAUUAAAACUAAAUACAAAAAUAGAAACAUAAGCUGGGUGUAAAAUUUCAGUUUACGUUUAAACUGGAAGGGCAUACCACAUGUUCAAUAUAUUGGACAAAUACUGUUUUAUUUUUAGCAUGUAGUAUUGUAGAUACAAAUACGCAUGUUCUUAAGCUAAACCUAAGUAAAAGGGCUUUGUCACUGUAGAUUUGACAAAUAACAUUCUAAAUGUCAAAUCUGACAAUUGGAAAACAGUACAGUUUUAUUUCCCUUAUUUUUAAGUAUAGCAGGAAAAAAAUAACAAGUUUGUCCAUGUUACUACUGAUACUGUAAAGAAACUUCCAAAUCACUGGUUUGGGAGGGGGUGGAUACAUCCUCAUUUUCUGUACAUGAUGCAUGGGGAAAAACAGUAGUUACUGCAUCAUAUAGUUCCAAGUAAAUCAUAUAGUUCCAAGUAAAUUUGACAUGGAAAUAAGUGUUAACUACAAAAAUAGAAUAUAUACAUUCCAAUGUUUGGAAAAGAAGUGGUAAAAAGAAAAAUAGCAAAAAGACACUAAAAUUAGCAAAAAGUAGAUUGACAGUACAGAUGACCUAUAAACUGGUUAAAUAGCCCUAUUACAAUUGAAAUUGGGUCAAAAAUCAAUCUCUAACCUGAGAUACAUUUGUAUAAAACAAAUGAUCAAAGAGUUUAAAGAUAAUGGAAACUAUAAAUCAUAGAAAUGGCAACAUUUUUCUUAAAAUCUAAACAUAAGACAUUUUAUGUAAAACAUACAAUAUAGGAUGUAACAUUUAACAAACUAUAUGGUAAAUAAUAUGACAUUAAUAUAUAAAAUAUAUGUUCCAGAUCUUGAUGUGGGUGAUAGUUUUACUUAUGUACAUCGAUAUACAUCUAUUUAAAAACAUGUACAUUUAAAUUGUUGCAUUUUAUGUAUUUAAAAUUUAUUGAGUAAUCCUUCUGUAUGUAUUAUUAAAGAGAAUAUAGCAAAAAAAAAAAAAAAAAAA
RNAcentral lists this long non-coding RNA (2091 nucleotides) under Homo sapiens (human). RNAcentral's name for it is "non-protein coding OTUD6B-AS1:11". Lineage: Eukaryota; Metazoa; Chordata; Mammalia; Primates; Hominidae. The record is from RNAcentral.